Molecule: unclassified non-coding RNA, 369 nt
Filed under: Hevea brasiliensis (rubber tree)
Lineage: Eukaryota; Viridiplantae; Streptophyta; Magnoliopsida; Malpighiales; Euphorbiaceae
Source: RNAcentral
UCUCUCUCCCUCACCUCUGCUUCUUCUGUUCUGCACUCAGCUACUCACUACAUAAUGAUGUGUGUUGGACAUUUCGUCCAAUACGUACAACUGCAAAUGAAACAUCCAUGAUACCCAAAUUCAACAAUCCAUAAUGGCCAAUCCAGUAUUAGCCAUCAUUAUUCCAUUGUGAUCCAUAAAAUAAGCCAAUAAAAUAUUUAAUGUUUUUCCUGAUCAAGUACUUCCUAUAAACAAGGGAUUGCAGAUAAAAAGCUCCCGUGAACGUGCCAUUCCAUAGGAAUUACACCAGAUUUACAAAAUUUGAGAUACGUGUGCCUUGGUUUCCCACAAACAGAUUCUUGUUAACAGCAAGGAGCACAUAGUAGUUAG